UAAUUACUUCGUUGUUUUCUCUAGGAAAAAGUCAACCACCGACAACUCUAAUAACAGCGAGGAGUCCAUUUCCCCUUUUCCAAUUAGAUUUGUUCAAGUUUCGGGAAGUGAUGAUGUUCGUCCAAUGUGUAGUCAAGAUGUCUCUGCCGUAGCUUCACCCAUUGAAAUUGUGGAAACCACUGUCAAUACUUCCCAGAGUUUGUAUACAGGUGUAUCUCUACACGGGCGACGUUUGGCAGAUAUUGGAUAUUUAUUAAAGCAAAUCGCAGAAAUAUCGAAGCAUCCACCAUUCGAUUGU
This 298-nucleotide long non-coding RNA is filed under the name Leptinotarsa decemlineata (Colorado potato beetle). Its description in RNAcentral is "uncharacterized LOC111510346". Lineage: Eukaryota; Metazoa; Arthropoda; Insecta; Coleoptera; Chrysomelidae. The record is from RNAcentral.